Molecule: transfer RNA, 93 nt
Filed under: Ignavibacteriales bacterium
Lineage: Bacteria; Pseudomonadati; Ignavibacteriota; Ignavibacteria; Ignavibacteriales
Description: tRNA-Ser
Rfam family: tRNA
About the family: Transfer RNA (tRNA) molecules are approximately 80 nucleotides in length.
Source: RNAcentral
GGAGAGGUGGGUGAGUGGCUGAAACCAACGGUUUGCUAAACCGUCAAGUCGGGUAAACCGGCUUCGCGGGUUCGAAUCCCGCCCUCUCCGCCA